This is a long non-coding RNA of Dinoponera quadriceps, 1090 nucleotides long. RefSeq lists it as uncharacterized. The record is from RefSeq and is a predicted model, not a curated record. Lineage: Eukaryota; Metazoa; Arthropoda; Insecta; Hymenoptera; Formicidae. The transcript has 3 exons.
AGUAUUCGCGCUUCGCAUUGAAUAAAGUACGUAUUGGGAUACGAACGUCUGCGACGUGCUUUGCAUUCCGGAUGUAUAAAUACCGUACGGUGUGUUGAUCCUUGAAUACGCGAGCACGCGAAAGAGCGAGUACGUGAGCGAUGAACGCGAGUUGCGUCCUAACAUAACGCGAUUGGCCUCGACAUAUCCCCCUCUUUUCUCUCUCGCGAAAAUUUCAUCUGUCCUACGGAUCAAUUCCUCGCAGGUGUGUCGAUUGUCACUUAGGGCUGUAAGUUGAAAUGCUUCUUCAAUUACGUUCGCUGAUUUCGCCGGGGCUAACUCUCUUUCUGCGAUCAUACGUUACAGACGGCACGGUGAUUCGGUGAAAUACAGCCGAUCGCUAAUCUCAGCGUUAGCCGACGCGGAUUGUCGCUGGAAGCUCGCCAGGUUCUCGGGGCCGGGGGACGAUUCGCGCGUGUUCCACAGCGAAGGAUGGCGGCAAGCACCGCGUGUUCCGGUAGUCACUUGGAACGGACAAGGUCCACGUGGGAGGAAACUUGUCGGCCGGUAACGAGCCGAAGUGGAACGAGCGAUUUCGCGAGGUGACGUGACGAUCGUCAGGCAGUGCGGAUAAUAAACUUAUGAAGGAUCCCCUUGAUAUCGCCACUGGAAAUCGGGCAUUACGAGCCAUCUCUAUUAAACUAGCAUCCGCAACAUAAAAAAUGUAAGUACAAACGAAAAAAAAAUGUAAGUAAAGAAUGUAAGUAAAAAAUGUAAGUACAGCAGAAUUAAGCGCUAAUUAGGAAUUAAUUUAGCGCUGCGAUUUUAGCGUUCGAGUUGCUUAGCUGUCUAACUAAUUGCCAUCUUAGUAUACACACAGUAGUGCGUUCACCUGCAGCUCGUCACCCGGCUCGUUUCCCUCCUCUUUCUCCGACGGUGGAAAGCGGAGAACGUGUAACGGGAAGGGCCGAGACGGGCGCGAGGGAACGAAGGAGGAAGGGAGGGUUAAUUUCCUAUACUGGAUAUAUCCAGCGGCUCCGAGUUUUCCCCGUAAUCGCUUCCAAGUGUUUCCUGCGCCCCGUUCUGCCGUCCGUUCGUCCAUCGUCGCGAC